CCUCUCUUGAUUUCAUGCUUUUUCCAUUGAUUUUCAUUUGGUUGACUGGUUCUUUCCAAAUGUACUUUAAGUAUUCUUUAUUUUGUCUGCACGGUUUCAAUUGGAUCAUCUCGAGGUCUUGUAUCUGCAUAGGUUAUGUGGCGACCGGAGACCCAGAAGAAUUUUUAGAAAGAGAAAGAAAUAAUAUCGGAGGAAGAGAGAAAUUUAGAGAAAGAUUGAUUUAGAUUUGAAUUGUGGCGACCGAAGACCCAGAAGAACAGGCACGCAACAGUCGUCUCCAGGUAUUUCUUUCAUCGUUUUGGGCAAGUCUUGGAGGGGUUUUUGGCAGUCAGAAUAAUGACCAAGAAGAAGAUUUAGAAAUGGCUUCAAAAGCUGUUGUUCAAGAACAACCCAGAGGCAACAAUAGUUGAGUAAUACACUUAAAUCUGGAGGCGGCUAAAUUAUUGGACAUGGGGUGGAUGAUUGUUGUGAUGUGGUCGAAGCUGAAAAUCUGGCUGCUAUCGAUAUGUUGUGUUAGAGAUUCCAUUUAUUGGCUGUCUUCUUGUUACAUUAUUUUAACUAGAUUUUGUAGAUAUAGAAUUUAAAUUUCAGUAAUAUGAUAUAUAUAAAUUUGCUAAACAUUCUGUAACUUCGCUUUUCCCAUAUUGGUUUUUCCACAUUUGUUGUUAUACAUGGUGUUAACUAGAAAGAGAGUUGAAAUAGGGUGUAGUAGGGGAAGUGUGGUAAGAGUUGAGAAUGGGAGGAAAUGGCUAUUAGAGCCAGUACAACAACACUGUGAGCAACAUAAUUAGUUGCACCGUUCCAGACUUCACCAUGGCAUUGAAUAUUUGAAUUAAACUUAUUAAAGCUAAUUUCAAGUUUUGGUAAAUCAGUAAAUGGGAUUGGAAGUUUUCUGAUUUGGGUUUGUCAGUAACUUAUUAAUGUUUUGGAAAUGGGAUUCUAAUUUUGGUGAUAUGUUGAUUCAAUUGCCAUCGAUUCACACAGAAAGCUUUUACAAGUGAUUGGGACAAGGAUUUGAAAAGCUUAUGAGCAAUUUGUGAUUUUGAUUCUUGGCAACAGGCGAUGCCUUGUAAAGUCACAUUUGAGCUCCACUAUUGGGGAAAUUUGAGUACCGUACUUAGCGGUACUCUGGCGAUCAAAUCGUCGCACGCGCUUGCUCACAGUGUUGUUGUACUGGCUCUAAUAGCGAUGGUGAGGUCAAAGUCACUAGAAGGAGUUUCUACUGGGCAGCAGCGUUAGUGCCAGCCUGGGAAAGCAUUGCCGGAAUGGAGGUCUUCUUUGCAUUAGUCGUCUUCUUUGCAUUAGUCAAGUGUUAUCUCUGCAUGAUAUUAGUCACGUGUUAUCUCUGCGUUUUUGUCUUACACUUACACCCUGAGGCGUUCAUCACAUGAGAAAUCAAGAUGUUGGAUUGAGGAGGAAAAUCUGUAGACAGAUGAAAGGAUUGAUCCAGAAAAACUGUUAAUAAGCCUGAAGUGAUUGACAUUAUAUUGCCCUUAUUUAUUGGAAGUCUAGAAGAGGGUGAUGCUUUAACUCUUGUUAUUUAUUGACCUUUUUACUUAUGCAAGAAAGAAAAACAAGCCUAUAUUUCUUUUUGCUUUUAGAAUUUUGGAUCUGCAUUUUGU
Molecule: long non-coding RNA, 1622 nt
Organism: Olea europaea var. sylvestris
Lineage: Eukaryota; Viridiplantae; Streptophyta; Magnoliopsida; Lamiales; Oleaceae
Exons: 3
Source: RefSeq, a predicted model, not a curated record